This 218-nucleotide long non-coding RNA is filed under the name Gossypium raimondii (Peruvian cotton). RNAcentral describes it as "long non-coding RNA (GRAI_LNC008086)". The record is from RNAcentral. Lineage: Eukaryota; Viridiplantae; Streptophyta; Magnoliopsida; Malvales; Malvaceae.
CUCUCGCAGCAGUAUUGCUCGGCUUCAUGGUUUGAGCUUUUUCUUUCUUGGAUUUCUCUGGGCAAUCUCUAAGUAAUGGUCUAAGAAACCACACCUGAAACAUGCUCUGUUCUUUAAUCGAAACUCACUAUAAUGUGGUUUCUUACAGUGCUUGCACUUGGGCCAAACAUCUCUGACACUACCCACACUUGCUACAGAUGUAGCUUGUGGCUUUGGAC